Molecule: ribosomal RNA, 305 nt
Filed under: uncultured bacterium
Lineage: Bacteria
Description: bacterial SSU rRNA
Rfam family: Bacterial small subunit ribosomal RNA
Source: RNAcentral
CCUACGGGAGGCAGCAGUGGGGGAUAUUGCACAAUGGGGGAAACCCUGAUGCAGCGACGCCGCGUGAGUGAAUAAGUAUUUCGGUACGUAAAGCUCUAUCAGCAGGGAAGAAUAAUGACGGUACCUGACUAAGAAGCCCCGGCUAACUACGUGCCAGCAGCCGCGGUAAUACGUAUGGAGCAAGCGUUAUCCGGAUUUACUGGGUGUAAAGGGAGCGCAGACGGCAGGGCAAGUCUGAUGUUAAAGUCCGGGGCUCAACCCUGGGACUGCAUUGGAAACUGUCCGGGUAGAGUGCAGGAGAGGUA